AAAUGAUAGUCAUAGUGAAUUAACAGAUAGAGGAAUUUCAGGAGAAAAAUAAAAACUAUUAAAAAAGGUAAAAUGAAAUUCUAAAACUGAAAAGCACAGUAUCUGAAAUGAAAAGUUCUCUGGAUAUGGCGAAAGGGUCAGUGAGCUCAAAGAACAAUCAACAGGAAAUAUCUGAGGAACAAAGAGAAAAAGGAUGAAGAAAAAUGAAGAUCAAAGAAGGGAAAAAAGAAAGAAAGAAAAGAAAGAAAGAGAAAGAAAAAAGUUAACUAAGAAUUCUAAGUAGAGAGAAAAUAACUUCCAAAAAUGACAGGUAAAUAAAGACAUAAAGAUCAGUGGAAGCUGAGAGAAUUCAUCACGAGCAGGCCUCCGUGUGGCAGAAGGAACAUAAGAAAGAUAUUCUUCACGUUGAAAGUAAAUGACAUCAUAUGACCAUUUGGGCCUACAGGAAGAAUUGAAGAGCACCUGAAAAAAGUCAAUACAAAAGACUGUGUUAGUUUCCUACUGUGGCUGUAAGAAAUUACCACAAAGUCAGUGGCUUAAAAACUUAUCUUAAACUCUGCAGGUCAGAAAUCUGAAUUGGGUUUCACUGAGCUAGAAUUACGGUUUCAGGAGGGCCAUGUUCCUUCUGGAGGGUUAGAGCAGAAUCCAUUUCCUUGCUUUUCCCAACUUCUAGCGGCCUGCAUUCCUUGGCUUGUGGCCCCAUUUCUCCAUCUGCAAAGCCAACAAUGUCAAAUCGAGUCUUUCUCAUGCUGCUAUUUUUAUUGGUUCUCUUCUGCCUCCCUUUCUCCAUUUUAGGGAUCCCUGUAAUUACAUUGGGCCUAGUUGGAUAAUCCAAGAUAAUAUCCUUAUCUUGAGGUCAGUUGAUUAGCCUCCUUAAUUCCCUCUACUAUCAUAAUUCCCCUUUGCCAUGUAACCUAACAUAUUCACAAAUUCUGGGGGUUAGGAAAUGGAUACAUUUUUGGGGGCCAUCAUUUUGCAUCCCAUGAAACUUUUUUUUUCUCUUAAUUUAUUUAAAUAACAACUAUUAAUGUAAAAAUUAUAACAUAGUCUUGUGGUAUUUAUAAAUAAGUAGAUAUAAAAUGUAUGAUAGCAAUAGACAAGGAGUGGAGG
This 1110-nucleotide long non-coding RNA is filed under the name Equus caballus (horse). RNAcentral's name for it is "lncRNA (ENSECAG00000051996.1)". The record is from RNAcentral. Lineage: Eukaryota; Metazoa; Chordata; Mammalia; Perissodactyla; Equidae.